This 1080-nucleotide ribosomal RNA is filed under the name Salmonella enterica subsp. enterica serovar Kentucky. RNAcentral describes it as "partial 23S ribosomal RNA". It matches the Rfam family "Bacterial large subunit ribosomal RNA", at positions 680 to 1757 of the family's 2925-position model. The record is from RNAcentral. Lineage: Bacteria; Pseudomonadati; Pseudomonadota; Gammaproteobacteria; Enterobacterales; Enterobacteriaceae.
AGUCUUAACCGGGCGUUAAGUUGCAGGGUAUAGACCCGAAACCCGGUGAUCUAGCCAUGGGCAGGUUGAAGGUUGGGUAACACUAACUGGAGGACCGAACCGACUAAUGUUGAAAAAUUAGCGGAUGACCUGUGGCUGGGGGUGAAAGGCCAAUCAAACCGGGAGAUAGCUGGUUCUCCCCGAAAGCUAUUUAGGUAGCGCCUCGUGAACUCAUCUCCGGGGGUAGAGCACUGUUUCGGCUAGGGGGCCAUCCCGGCUUACCAACCCGAUGCAAACUGCGAAUACCGGAGAAUGUUAUCACGGGAGACACACGGCGGGUGCUAACGUCCGUCGUGAAGAGGGAAACAACCCAGACCGCCAGCUAAGGUCCCAAAGUCAUGGUUAAGUGGGAAACGAUGUGGGAAGGCCCAGACAGCCAGGAUGUUGGCUUAGAAGCAGCCAUCAUUUAAAGAAAGCGUAAUAGCUCACUGGUCGAGUCGGCCUGCGCGGAAGAUGUAACGGGGCUAAACCAUGCACCGAAGCUGCGGCAGCGACGCUGAUGCGUUGUUGGGUAGGGGAGCGUUCUGUAAGCCUGUGAAGGUGGCCUGUGAGGGUUGCUGGAGGUAUCAGAAGUGCGAAUGCUGACAUAAGUAACGAUAAAGCGGGUGAAAAGCCCGCUCGCCGGAAGACCAAGGGUUCCUGUCCAACGUUAAUCGGGGCAGGGUGAGUCGACCCCUAAGGCGAGGCCGAAAGGCGUAGUCGAUGGGAAACGGGUUAAUAUUCCCGUACUUGGUGUUACUGCGAAGGGGGGACGGAGAAGGCUAUGUUGGCCGGGCGACGGUUGUCCCGGUUUAAGCGUGUAGGUGUGUGUUCCAGGUAAAUCCGGUUCACUUUAACACUGAGGCGUGAUGACGAGGCACUACGGUGCUGAAGCAACAAAUGCCCUGCUUCCAGGAAAAGCCUCUAAGCAUCAGGUAACAUCAAAUCGUACCCCAAACCGACACAGGUGGUCAGGUAGAGAAUACCAAGGCGCUUGAGAGAACUCGGGUGAAGGAACUAGGCAAAAUGGUGCCGUAACUUCGGGAGAAGGCACGCUGACAC